ACCGAGGCUGCCGAAAUCAUGUUCAGUGUAUGUGGGAUUAAUAAUUUCACCUUUCUCCCUCAAGUGACAGGCCUGUAAAUCCUGUCAUCUGCUCAUUAUUGGUGUUAAUGGUGUUUUUCACAUGCAUGCUUUUUAUGCUAGUUUCAUUCUCAAAUAGAUCUGAUACUUUAGUUUCAACAAAUAUUUAAUAAACAAAUGGUUCACUUUUUUUAGGUCCUGACUGCCACCAGUUGAGUCAAUGAUUCAGUGGAGAGACAGUCUGGGCAGCAGCAACAAGACAACUGUUACAAAUAGAGACGGGUUUCAAAAACUGACACAACCACAUAUCAUCUAAAUCAUCUCCAAGUGGAUGGCAGCAAGGAUCCAGGAUCAAGAGAUCAUUCUUCAUGAAGACUGUUCCAUAGGAAGCAGUGAAUCCUGGGUCAUCCUGACCAUUCUGCUGUCCUGGACGUGAGGACAUGCUGGAACUGCAUUUCUCAUGGUUGAAAGAUUUGUGCAGCAGUAUCCAGAUAUACAAACAGCCUUCCUGGACCCACACGACUAAAGGCUCCGGAGGAGAGACAGGGAAAGAUGAAAAAUAAGGAAGUCUGGGAACGACUGAAGAAGACAGCAGUGAGGAAAGGAAGUAAUCAUCAGAAUCUCAGAGAAGGAUAUUGACGGUGCAGGCUCAGGAUGAAGAAGAGGGGGAAGAACACGUUUAACAAUUUUCUCAUACCUUUGCCAUGUGUUAAAAUAAAAACAAUAAACCUGACUACAAUAAUAUGCUAAAUGUUUUUAAAAGAUUCCAGUUUGCAAGAAAUCUGGAGUCUCUGACUCUACACUAGAGGAACUCUUUCCUGAAGAAGAUCAGGUGCUGAGAAGGAGCCUUGUUCUACAGCAAAACACUGCAUCAAGCCUCCUGUCCUUCCCUCAGAAGAGCCUGUCUUCUGCUGCUGGGGUAAGAAAGACACUCUUCCUCUUCUCUAUCGGCUGUCCAGCACCUUACUCUGCCUCCUCAGCACUGUCUGAAAGAGUCUUCUCCACAGUCAGUUAUCAGAGAUCACACAUUCUCCUGAGAAACUCAACACACUCAUUUUCUAAAAACUGUUUGUGUUUUGAAGUGGGCCAAAUAAUACAGGAGAGAUGCUAGAAAUCUCCAUAUUGUUCAUUUUACAUAUCUUAACUCUUUAUGAAUGAAUGUCUUUUAUCUUCUGAGAAGCUCAAGAACUAUGGUUCUUUGGUAAUUGUAAUAUUGUUUAGGUUUAUCUUCUGAUAGUAAAGCAGUAUUAAAGCACAUCACCAGACAUUUGUAGCAGGUGCCUCAUAUAGGACGCUCGGGAAACAAUUGAACUUUUCUUCUGCAAAAAAGUAAUGAAGUAUCUACUGAAUUGUUUCAUAUCUUUUUAUCAUGUCUUUAUUUUUUUUGCACCAAAUUAUGGAGAGUUGUAUUAAUGAGACUACUCGUAGUUAUUAAUAAUUUUCACUGAUAACAUAAUUAACUAUGUCCAUCCUUAAGACAAACUUUUUCAAUUGAUUAUAUUGCGUAAUCUAUGAAUUGAUGUGUUCAGUUUUCUGCGCUCAUGACUUGGUAACACUUUGCAUGGUUAAAGAAUGGGUUUAAUGUUCAAAAUGUUUUGGCUUAGUAUUUGUAGAAAAUAGCACUGAAUAAAUGUUGAUUCAUGAAUGAAUGCAUUGUGUUUUUGUCUAUUUUCUAUUACAAUUUAAUGUUUUUGUAUUAGUUUGCAUUGCAUGUAUGUAUGUAAUGAAUGUAUUUACUAUAAAUCUCUAUAAUUAGAUUACUAUUAGAUUGUAUAAGGUUUUUUUUUGCACCAG
This is a long non-coding RNA of Cyprinus carpio (common carp), 1812 nucleotides long. RefSeq lists it as uncharacterized. The record is from RefSeq and is a predicted model, not a curated record. Lineage: Eukaryota; Metazoa; Chordata; Actinopteri; Cypriniformes; Cyprinidae. The transcript is spliced from 6 exons.